Molecule: ribosomal RNA, 591 nt
Filed under: Triticum aestivum (bread wheat)
Lineage: Eukaryota; Viridiplantae; Streptophyta; Magnoliopsida; Poales; Poaceae
Description: partial small subunit ribosomal RNA
Source: RNAcentral
AAACUUAUUGCCGGUCUAUCUUCCGGUCAACGGGCCGCACUUGCCGAAACACCACUCCGUAGCAUGCUUCAGAUACCUUCGCUGAAGAUGCGUACACUGUUGAUCCGGUACAUGGUUGAGAUUUUUGAUCCUAGCAAGGGCAGAUUCAUUGUACAAGACUUGGUUGGCGAAGUGUCUCUCGGUGCCGUGGAUGUUGAGUGCAUCUUGGCCUUGGAGAAGCACGGACUGUCGGCAGAAGGUAUUCUCGGUGAGGAAGGUGAGGAUGUUAAAGAUCGAGUGCCGCCUCAAUUCCUGAGCAAGACCACAGGUAACAUAGUCAUCGAUGAUCUGAUUGUGGACAUCACAAAAAAUAAAUCUGCUGACGACGAUUUCCUUCGGAGAGUUGUCCUCGUGUUGCUUGGAACAUUUCUUGCUCCCAUGUCGAGCAAGACUGUACCAAAGCAAUAUUACGCAUUGGUGGACGAUGUGAAGCGUAUAUCCAAGAUUAAUUGGAAUGCAUUCACCCUCCGGGUUCUGCUGGUCUGCCUUCGCAACGUGAGGAAAGGCAAACACCUCCGCCAAUGGCCGAGAGGGAACUUAGCUCUCCUGCAG